This 443-nucleotide ribosomal RNA is filed under the name uncultured bacterium. Its description in RNAcentral is "partial 16S ribosomal RNA". It matches the Rfam family "Bacterial small subunit ribosomal RNA", at positions 338 to 795 of the family's 1533-position model. The record is from RNAcentral.
CCUACGGGGGGCUGCAGUGGGGGAUAUUGGACAAUGGGGGGAACCCUGAUCCAGCGACGCCGCGUGAGUGAAGAAGUAUUUCGGUAUGUAAAGCUCUGUCAGCAGGGAAGAAAGAAAUGACGGUACCUGACUAAGAAGCCCCGGCUAACUACGUGCCAGCAGCCGCGGAAAUACGUAGGGGGCAAGCGUUAUCCGGAAUGACUGGGGGUAAAGGGAGCGUAGACGGUUAAGUAAGUCUGGAGUGAAAGGCCGGGGCCCAACCCCGGGACUGCUCUGGAAACUAUUGAACUUGAGUGCAGGAGAGGUAAGCGGAAUUCCUAGUGUAGCGGUGAAAUGCGUAGAGAUUAGGAGGAACACCAGUGGCGAAGGCGGCUUACUGGACUGUAACUGACGUUGAGGCUCGAAAGCGUGGGGAGCAAACAGGAUUAGAUACCCGGGUAGUC